AUUGAACGCUGGCGGCAUGCCUUACACAUGCAAGUCGAACGGUAACAGGUCUUCGGAUGCUGACGAGUGGCGCACGGGUGAGUAAUACAUCGGAACGUGCCCGAUCGUGGGGGAUAACGAGGCGAAAGCUUUGCUAAUACCGCAUACGAUCUACGGAUGAAAGCGGGGGAUCUUCGGACCUCGCGCGGGCGGAGCGGCCGAUGGCAGAUUAGGUAGUUGGUGGGAUAAAAGCUUACCAAGCCGACGAUCUGUAGCUGGUCUGAGAGGAUGAUCAGCCACACUGGGACUGAGACACGGCCCAGACUCCUACGGGAGGCAGCAGUGGGGAAUUUUGGACAAUGGGCGAAAGCCUGAUCCAGCCAUGCCGCGUGCAGGAUGAAGGCCUUCGGGUUGUAAACUGCUUUUGUACGGAACGAAAAGCCUCUUUCUAAUAAAGAGAGGUCAUGACGGUACCGUAAGAAUAAGCACCGGCUAACUACGUG
Molecule: ribosomal RNA, 482 nt
Filed under: uncultured bacterium
Lineage: Bacteria
Description: partial 16S ribosomal RNA
Rfam family: Bacterial small subunit ribosomal RNA
Source: RNAcentral